AUCUUGUGAUGAGGGCAUUUUCGUAAUAAUUUUUAAAUCUUUCUCAUGCCUCAUAUAAGGAUUCAUUAUCUAAUUGCUAAAAAGUUGUGAUCUCAUUCCUUAAUUU
Gossypium arboreum is the source of this 106-nucleotide non-coding RNA. Lineage: Eukaryota; Viridiplantae; Streptophyta; Magnoliopsida; Malvales; Malvaceae. The record is from Rfam.